This 1411-nucleotide long non-coding RNA is filed under the name Monodelphis domestica (gray short-tailed opossum). Its description in RNAcentral is "lncRNA (ENSMODG00000041954.1)". The record is from RNAcentral. Lineage: Eukaryota; Metazoa; Chordata; Mammalia; Didelphimorphia; Didelphidae.
CCAAUGUAGAGUUAAUAAUGGGAUUGAAUUAUGCAAAAGAGAAAGAAUGAAAAAGUUACAAGAACUCAAGCAAAAGUUUGUAACUGAUACAGAGACCCAUAAUUUCAAUUCCCUAAAGGUUACUGUUGCUAAUGAUAAUAAUGCUUUAAAAACGUUCACAGAUGACCUCCCACCAAACUUAGUUAAUUCUAUAAAUAGCUUUAUGGCACAGGUACCCUUAGAAAAUACAUCUGAUUUGAAUCCAGAAGCUAAUACCUUCCAUCCAGAAAUGAGUGAUAUAGAUAAGGAAAAAUUAACUGAACAUGAAACUGAAAUUACUCUUGAAAAUAAUUAUCCUAUUCAAAGUAAUGGAGACGUAACGACAGUUAAAUUUGAAGAGGGGUAUGGAAUGGAAUUCGUACCAACUGGAAAAACUACCAUGGAUUCAAAAGACAGGCUUGAAUCCAACAUUCUAAGGGGCAAAGGGGAAUCUAGUCAAAGAAACAGCCAUGGUUUAGGUUCAUAUUCCAAUGUAGACAUCACAGGAAAUGAAUCAAAUCAAGAAGAAUUAACUGAGACACAUAUGCACCUGGCAGAGAGUAGCAAAGACCUGAACACUGAGUCAAUAGGUGUGAAUAUCGUAGCUACAAUGCCAGAAACAGAUAUAUGUUGUAUGGGGGGACAGCAUGAAAGCACACAUCCUAAUGAUGAUGCAGGGAGACAUGCCAACUUAUUCCCAGAAGAAAGUAGUGAAAUAGAGGAAAAGAUUCCUAUCCCUACACAGUCAAAUGAGAAUGAAGAUAAACAUAAGCAUCAGACUAGUGGUAGUGUAAGAUCUAUGAUUAUUAACAGUAUAGCAGAUCUGCAUAACCCCAUACCAUCAAGUUUACCAAUUCAAAAUGAAAUUCUAAAGCUUAGUAAUGACAAACUACCUGAAACUGAUUUGAGAAACACAAAAGCUUAUGACAUAGGCUUAGAUCAAAAGGCAAAGCCAGAGUUACCAACAUCUGACAAAAGUUUACAUGGCAUUGGGCAAAAUCCAAAGAACAUAGUGAUUGAAUUCAGUGAUUCAGAUUCAGAUACUGAAUCUGAAGGAAUACCAGAAGGAGUUCUGCUUAUCCUCACACUGAAUGAAUAUUCCAUCUCCUCUCCAUCCUCAUAUCCAUUUCCAGGCAUUUCCCAGAUGGUGCCUUUUCGGUGUCCUUCAUUCCUCCUUUCUUUUAGAUCAUAUUCAUUCAACAUUCCUGCUGACCACAACAUGGAAGCUUAGUGUGAGUGAAACUUUAUGACUCAUUGAUAUGUUGAUUCUCUAUGACUGACUACUAAUCAUGGAACUUCCAUGGAUUAUACUAAAGUGGUAACUAGACUUCAGCAUCUCAUCUUCCUUUCUAGAUUUAAUAAAUGAGCUGUCAUGAACUAUUUCUGAGGAAAC